Molecule: ribosomal RNA, 113 nt
Filed under: Aspergillus venenatus
Lineage: Eukaryota; Fungi; Ascomycota; Eurotiomycetes; Eurotiales; Aspergillaceae
Description: 5.8S ribosomal RNA
Rfam family: 5.8S ribosomal RNA
About the family: 5.8S ribosomal RNA (5.8S rRNA) is a component of the large subunit of the eukaryotic ribosome. It is transcribed by RNA polymerase I as part of the 45S precursor that also contains 18S and 28S rRNA. Functionally, it is thought that 5.8S rRNA may be involved in ribosome translocation.
Source: RNAcentral
AACUUUCAACAAUGGAUCUCUUGGUUCCGGCAUCGAUGAAGAACGCAGCGAACUGCGAUAAGUAAUGUGAAUUGCAGAAUUCAGUGAAUCAUCGAGUCUUUGAACGCACAUUG